This 382-nucleotide ribosomal RNA is filed under the name uncultured eukaryote. RNAcentral describes it as "partial 18S ribosomal RNA". It matches the Rfam family "Eukaryotic small subunit ribosomal RNA", at positions 592 to 976 of the family's 1831-position model. The record is from RNAcentral.
UGUAAGCGUAUACCAAAGUUGUUGCAGUUAAAACGCUCGUAGUCGGACUUUGGCAGUUCCGGAUGUGUGCACGUCGUGUGCGCACUUCGCGGGGAUUGCUUUUGUGGUCUUGCGUAGGAUGAGGCACUUUUAUUAGUGAACGUCCUCACGCAACCACUUUCUACUGUGAGAAAAUCAGAGUGCUCAAAGCAGGCAUUUGCCGUGAAUGUAUUAGCAUGGAAUAAUAGAAUAGGACUUGGUUCUAUUUUGUUGGUUUGUUGGGACUGAGUAAUGAUUAAGAGGGACAGUUGGGGGCAUUUGUAUUUCGGUGCUAGAGGUGAAAUUCUUAGAUUACCGAAAGACAAACUGCUGCGAAAGCGUCUGCCAAGGAUGUUUUCAUUGA